This is a long non-coding RNA of Vigna unguiculata (cowpea), 539 nucleotides long. RefSeq lists it as uncharacterized. Lineage: Eukaryota; Viridiplantae; Streptophyta; Magnoliopsida; Fabales; Fabaceae. The record is from RefSeq and is a predicted model, not a curated record.
UGUUUGUCUUAGAUAACGUUGAUUAUUAUGUCUAGUUUUUGUAAGGCCCGUUUCAUUUUGUCCCUUUUAUUUUAAGGGCUGCCCCAAUCUUAUGGGCCUAAAGACUAGCCCAAAGAGGAAGGGUCAGACCUAACCUACCAACCCUAACCUUGUGCUCAUUUUGGUAACACAGAACUUUCACAAUCCUUAUAGCGGCUGCUGUUUUUUCUCUACUAGGGUUUACUCCUAACCUUGAACCAAUGAGCUCAGUUACGUUUCCUAGCUUCAUCUCAGUAAUAUGCCUUUGGAGUUUCGCGUUCCGUUGUUGGAGACGCACCUCGCUCUUAGCCCUUUUUCAGAUGGGCGAGGUUCCCGCGGUCAGCAAGGAAAUGGCGAUUCUGCUGCUUAGUCACCUGGGCUGGACUUUAUGUUUAUUUUUCUUCAUGGGUUUUCUUUAGGGCUAUGACCCAUGUAUUGCUCUAUGCUUUACUAUUCUACUCUCAUUUUGUUAGACUUUUAUCUGGUUUUCGUUGGCAUCGUGGUGUGUCCAGUUUGUAGGG